AAGUAGAAAGUAUAGAGAAAAACUGAAGAGAGAGAGGCCUGAAGAAUAUGAGAGACAAAGGAUAAAUAGUUUAAUCAGAAGUCUUUCUAAGAAGAAAAAAAUUGCCGAAAUGUCCAGGGAUGAAGUUAUAAAACAGAGAAUCGAAUGGAGAAAAGCGAAAAGAGCCAGUAAAUUUAAAAGAACAAGACAUAGGAACAACUGAAUUCAAUUAAAAAAACUAUGAUGUAAAAGAAAAAAAUAAUAAUACUUAAACCAUUUAUAAAGCAUUGGCUGCGUAAUGUUAGUUUUUUCUACAAGUCUUAUUAUGUAAACAAUCUUACUGUGUCUUUUUAUUUUACAUAGUAAAUGUAUAGGUUUAAACUAACAUUUAGUAUAUAUUUUUUUAAAUCCAACAAUAUGUACAUAUAUGUGUUAAGAUUGUUUACGUGUUAGGAAAAAACUGACUUUAGACGAGUGCGUUAAAAUACCAUACAAAAAAUACCAUAUUUUUUUAACAUCAGUGUGCACCGGCCAUAACAGAAAUUCAAGUUUUCUAAGAGCAGACAAAUUCGAAAAUUAAAAAAAGUUAAGUUAACAUGGAAGUUUCAAUUUUCAUUGCUUUGUAGUAAAUAUGUGUUUAAAGAAAGAAUUUAUCUUUUUUAUUUUUUGAUCAGAAUCAAUCUGUAUCAAAAUAUAUACUUGAAAAUUUCCUUAUGUUGAGAUGGUUAUACUAAUAGAUACAAUACUAUUACUAUCUAUACAGAUAAUAGACUGAUAAACUAAAAAUUUUUCCACUUUACUUUUACCGAAAUCUCCCAAGAGCUUUAUUUGUAAUUAUUACUUUUAUAUUAGUUUUUAUACUCAUUUUGGUUUACCUCAUUUUCUCCUUUCUUGAAAUGGAAGUGGAUUCCCAGAGUGGAAUCUCUCAUCGACUCAUCGUAUAAAAGUGACCGAUGUGAAAAAAAUACGUUUGAAAAAAAUAAACCCAGUUUCGUCCGACUGUUAUUGGUUUACAGGCAUGCAAUAUUCGCUCAUCAAAGUUGAGCUCUAAAUAAAUAACUAUUUCAGAGUUUCAUGUAGAAUUCGUGACCUCCAGUAGAGGAAACAUGAUGAUCCAGGUAGGCCAGUACAAGUUCAGCCUGAACCAGAAGCCUAACAACCAUUCGAAGAGGAAGAGAUGGCUGUGCACGAGAUGGUCCCGGGGCUGCCGAGCUAAACUGAUCACCGUGGAAGACACUGUCAUCAAAGUGGAUAAUUGCCAUACACAUUAGAUAACAAUAGCUUUUUACAGUAAACCUUGACUUUGAAAGAUGUCAUGUAUGUAUUUUUUCAUUAACCUGACUAAUACGUCGUAUGUCUGGUACCUCUAAUUGGCGUUGAAUUGGUCUUGUAGACAUUGCCUUAUUUUUUAAAUCUUAUAAGAAUUGGAUGUAUAGCAGUGUGUUAUUUUAUUUUACAACCAAAAUUAUCCAAAAGUAUUGGUCAUUCGUCAUCAAAUCAUAUUUGGUUCGAUUAUAAAGGUCAAAUAUAAUAUUAUUUUUCCUUGCAGGAAUUCACUUCAUGGCAGCAAUCAUGCAGUCUUCACUACCAGGAUCGCAUACUGCUAUCUUAAAGAAAUCAGUGCGCGGUAACCCAGUUUUGGAGUACGACGGAGUAAGAUAUUCCUUGUCUAAAGAAGUCGGAUACAGGAGACACUGGCGCUGCAUCAAGUGGUCCAAGGGCUGCCGAGUCGCUCUCACCUCCCAUGGAACUACCAUUGUCAAAACUAUAAACGAACAUACACACUGAAGUAGUCUAAUUAGGUAGAAUUUACACUUUGAAAUUAUAGAAAUUUGCGUGAGAGUGUCAUGUGACCCUAGUUUGUACCUAUAUGAUUUUGAGUCUGGAUUCCAUAUUGAUUCAGCUUAUCUUGUUAGUCAACUAUAUUGUGUUCUUUUAUUUUGUAUUUAUAUCAUUCAUAUUUUUUAAAUACAUUUAUUGAAGGUC
This is a long non-coding RNA of Plodia interpunctella (Indianmeal moth), 1965 nucleotides long. RefSeq lists it as uncharacterized. The record is from RefSeq and is a predicted model, not a curated record. Lineage: Eukaryota; Metazoa; Arthropoda; Insecta; Lepidoptera; Pyralidae. The transcript has 2 exons.